This 309-nucleotide unclassified non-coding RNA is filed under the name plant metagenome. RNAcentral describes it as "partial contains 5.8S ribosomal RNA, internal transcribed spacer 2, and large subunit ribosomal RNA". The stretch from base 1 to 105 matches the Rfam family "5.8S ribosomal RNA", at positions 50 to 154 of the family's 154-position model. The record is from RNAcentral.
GAAAUGCGAUAAGUAAUGUGAAUUGCAGAAUUCAGUGAAUCAUCGAAUCUUUGAACGCACAUUGCGCCCGCCAGUAUUCUGGCGGGCAUGCCUGUUCGAGCGUCAUUUCAACCAUCAAGCCCCCGGGCUUGUGUUGGGGACCUGCGGCUGCCGCAGGCCCCGAAAACCAGUGGCGGGCUCGCUGUCACACCGGGCGUAGUAGAUUUUUCGUCUCGCCCAGGGCGUGCUGCGGGUUCCGGCCGUUAAAAAGCCUCUCUUUUAACCCAAGGUUGACCUCGGAUCAGGUAGGAAGACCCGCUGAACUUAAGA